Molecule: long non-coding RNA, 1927 nt
Organism: Ictalurus punctatus (channel catfish)
Lineage: Eukaryota; Metazoa; Chordata; Actinopteri; Siluriformes; Ictaluridae
Source: Ensembl
CUUUUUUGUUGUUGUUGCAGAAAACUACUUGAAUUGGCGAAAUCGCAGUUGCACAAAGUUGUUUUGCACGGUCUUUCGCAGUGAUGUUUGUUGGUAAAUGGGACCUUUUGUUGAGAAAUGUUCGACACACGUGAAUGGAAGAGGCUGGACGCGUGUUGUGAUGACAUCACGUGAAAAAUGGCAAGCUCCUCUGAAUAGUGCUGAGUUUUGCUCGAUUUUGCGUUCAUUUCUGCGUUGACAAAAGAGAAAGCCUAGACGGAUUGAGUAAUACGCAGUAGACACUCAUCCCGCUCCCGCUUGAGUCCUUGAGGUUUUCAAAAAGUAUCAAAAUCUUUAGAAUGAUCUCCUUAAUUCUAAGGUGGGAUAGCGCUACCUUUGCAGAUUCAGUAACCAUGAGCACGGACGCAGCGACGGAUCGCAAACGGGCGGGCAUACCUUAAACUACAUGUUCUAGAGUUUUCAAGAGAUGAUAGCUACCACCUUCCCUGUAGCUAGAUAUCUUCCCUGUGGAAAAUAAUAGCGCUGCGUUUCUUCCUGUAAUGUCUGAAAGGUCGGAGACACUUGUAGAAGGAUCUUGGGCCACUCUUCCAUGCAGAAUAUUUAAAACUCUUUUUUCCUGAGGGGCAGUGGUGGCUUAAGGCUCUGGGUUACUGAUCAGAAGGUCGGGGGUUCGAGCCCCAGCACUGCGGAGCUGCCACUGUUGGGCCUUGAGCAAGGUACAUAACCCUCUCUGCUCCAGGGGGCGCUGUAUCAUGGUUGACCUGCGCUCUGACCACACCUUCCUGACAUGCUGGGGUAUGCGAAGAAAACAAUUUCACUGUGCUGUAAUGUAUACGUGACCAAUAAAGACUCAUUAUCAUAUUCUUCAGUUUAUGCACGUGGACUUCCUCCUUCAGUUUUCAGUGGGGUUCAAAUCUAGAAAAUGAUGGCUAAAGUCUGAACUUCCUGACAGAGGCAAUAAGGUUUUGGACCGAAGUUUCCUAAAACAGCCCCAAAGUAUCAAAGCUCCACCUCCAUAUUUUACAAUGAUGUAUCGGGUGUUUAUCCUUGUUGUCAAACAUGCUGAUGUGCAUAACCAACAGGUUUGAUUUUAUUCUCAUGUGACCACAACACGAUGCUAACUGUAGUUCUAACGAUGCUUUGUGAAGUUCGGACGCUGAUGAUUUUUCUGAGCUUCUCUCAGGACGGGGCUUGUUCUUUUGAUAACGAUAAAGAGUUUAACAGUUGAAGUAGAUGAAUUACACUGGCAUCAUUCUAAAAGCGUGAACUUUAGGAUCUUUUCACAGUACAGCGCCAGCAUAUAAUACAGUAUAUUUUCUAAACACACCCAUACUUCUAUCCCACAGUGGACUGGCUUACUGCCCGGUAUUGUAGAGUGUAUUGCCCGGCGCUGUUUGGCACUGUCCUGCACUAGUAUUUACAGUAUUGUGUUCACAACAUUUAUCUCGCUAGACAGAGCAGUGAAGGAGCUUUUCAUUAUGCUGCACUGCUAUAAUAACGAUAAAGUUGAAUAGAUUUGAAUGUAACUGAAAUUUCUCCCAUACUUUAACAUCUUCCUUACUGUAAUGUGGGACACUGUGCUUGUGGGUCCGAUUUCUACCAAAUUUCAGAGAACGUGAAAUAUUUUGCUAAAGGCCUUAAUUGUGCAGAACCACUUAUGUAUUUUUAUACAUAUUACCUGAUUUGUGCAGAUAGAACGAGAUUUUACAUGCAGGUGUGUAUUUAAACCCCAGGUAAACAGGUCAUCGUUACAUGCGUGUAUUUAAACCCCAGGUAAACAGGUCAUCGUUACAUGCGUGUAUUUAAACCCCAGGUAAACAGGUCAUGGUUACAUGCAUGUAUUUAAACCCCAGGUAAACAGGACAUGGUUAAAGGCAAUAACAGAGUUCUGGGAGAAUGAGAGCAAAUCAAAAAUAACCUUUUUUUC